CCUACGGGAGGCAGCAGUGGGGAAUAUUGCACAAUGGGGGAAACCCUGAUGCAGCGACGCCGCGUGAGUGAAGAAGUAUUUCGGUAUGUAAAGCUCUAUCAGCAGGGAAGAAAAUGACGGUACCUGACUAAGAAGCCCCGGCUAACUACGUGCCAGCAGCCGCGGUAAUACGUAGGGGGCAAGCGUUAUCCGGAUUUACUGGGUGUAAAGGGAGCGUAGACGGCGGAACAAGUCAGAAGUGAAAACCCGGGGCUCAACCCUGGGAGUGCUUUUGAAACUGUUUGGCUGGAGUGCAGGAGAGGUAAGCGGAAUUCCUAGUGUAGCGGUGAAAUGCGUAGAGAUUAGGAGGAACUCCGAUUGCGAAGGCAGCUUACUAAACUGCCACUGACAUUGAUGCUCGAAAGUGUGGGUAUCAAACAGGAUUAGAUACCCGAGUAGUC
Molecule: ribosomal RNA, 440 nt
Filed under: uncultured bacterium
Lineage: Bacteria
Description: partial 16S ribosomal RNA
Rfam family: Bacterial small subunit ribosomal RNA
Source: RNAcentral